Molecule: small nuclear RNA, 106 nt
Organism: Capra hircus (goat)
Lineage: Eukaryota; Metazoa; Chordata; Mammalia; Artiodactyla; Bovidae
Source: Ensembl
AUGCUCGCUUCAGUGGCACAUAUAAUAAAUUGGAAUGAUACAGGGAAGAUUAGCAGGGCCCUUGCACAAGGAUGACAUGCAAAUUUGUGAAGCAGUCCAUAUUUUU